Molecule: ribosomal RNA, 414 nt
Filed under: uncultured bacterium
Lineage: Bacteria
Description: bacterial SSU rRNA
Rfam family: Bacterial small subunit ribosomal RNA
Source: RNAcentral
ACUCCUACGGGAGGCAGCAGUGGGGAAUAUUGCACAAUGGGCGCAAGCCUGAUGCAGCAACGCCGCGUGAGGGACGACGGCCUUCGGGUUGUAAACCUCUUUUAGCAGGGAAGAAGCCUUCGGGUGACGGUACCUGCAGAAAAGCGCCGGCUAACUACGUGCCAGCAGCCGCGGUAAUACGUAGGGCGCAAGCGUUAUCCGGAAUUAUUGGGCGUAAAGAGCUCGUAGGCGGUCUGUCGCGUCUGCUGUGAAAACCCGAGGCUCAACCUCGGGCCUGCAGUGGGUACGGGACAGACUAGAGUGCGGUAGGGGAGAUUGAAUUCCUGGUGUAGCGGUGGAAUGCNCGAUAUCAGGAGGAACCCGAUGGCGAAGGCAGAUCUCUGGGCCGUAACUGACGCUGAGGAGCGAAAGGGG